UACGAGUACCCCGAGCGUUAUCCGGAAUUAUUGGGCGUAAAGGGUGAGUAGGCGGUCUCAUUAGUCCUGUGUGAAAGCUUCCCGGCUCAACCGGGGAAACGCACGGGAAACGGUGAGACUAGAGCGCGCGAGAGGCAUGUGGAACUCUAGGUGUAGGGGUGAAAUCCGUUGAUAUCUAGGGGAACACCGAAUGCGAAGGCAGCAUGCUGGCGCGUUGCUGACGCUUAAUCACGAAAGCGUGGGUAGCGAAUGGG
Molecule: ribosomal RNA, 254 nt
Filed under: uncultured bacterium
Lineage: Bacteria
Description: partial 16S ribosomal RNA
Rfam family: Bacterial small subunit ribosomal RNA
Source: RNAcentral